UUGCAUCUUUGGAGCAGGCACUAUUUUGAAAGCGUUGGGGAACUAGUGGGGAAGGUAGUGGAGGUGGAUCAGGCGACCGUGGCUAGGGAAGUGCUAGAGUAUGUUCGUGUACGAGUUUGUAUUCCGGUAGGUGUUUUGUUACGUGUGAAGAAGGUGAGUAUAAACGGCCUCUCUUGUGUGGUAUCUUUCGAAGAAGAGACAUAUAUGUCGGAUUAUAAGUUAAGAAGUUUCUUCAGCAA
RNAcentral lists this long non-coding RNA (239 nucleotides) under Phaseolus vulgaris (common bean). RNAcentral describes it as "long non-coding RNA (PVUL_LNC004472)". Lineage: Eukaryota; Viridiplantae; Streptophyta; Magnoliopsida; Fabales; Fabaceae. The record is from RNAcentral.